This 463-nucleotide ribosomal RNA is filed under the name uncultured bacterium. RNAcentral's name for it is "bacterial SSU rRNA". It matches the Rfam family "Bacterial small subunit ribosomal RNA", at positions 339 to 794 of the family's 1533-position model. The record is from RNAcentral.
GUACGGGAGGCAGCAGUGGGGAAUUUUGGACAAUGGGGGAAACCCUGAUCCAGCCAUGCCGCGUGAGUGAAGAAGGCCUUCGGGUUGUAAAGCUCUUUCGGACAGAAAGAAAUCCUAUCCGCUAAUACCGGGUGGGGAUGACGGUACUGUAAGAAGAAGCACCGGCUAACUACGUGCCAGCAGCCGCGGUAAUACGUAGGGUGCGAGCGUUAAUCGGAAUUACUGGGCGUAAAGCGUGCGCAGGCGGUUUUGUAAGACAGAUGUGAAAUCCCCGGGCUUAACCUGGGAACUGCAUUUGUGACUGCAAGGCUAGAGUGUAGCAGAGGGGGGUAGAAUUCCACGUGUAGCAGUGAAAUGCGUAGAGAUGUGGAGGAAUACCGAUGGCGAAGGCAGCCCCCUGGGUUAACACUGACGCUCAUGCACGAAAGCGUGGGGAGCAAACAGGAUUAGAUACCCCGGUAGC